Molecule: ribosomal RNA, 270 nt
Filed under: uncultured bacterium
Lineage: Bacteria
Description: partial 16S ribosomal RNA
Rfam family: Bacterial small subunit ribosomal RNA
Source: RNAcentral
UGGCGUAAACAAAGGGAGGCAAAGGAGUAAUCUGGAGCGAACCCCAAAAAUAACGUCUCAGUUCGGACUGUGGUCUGCAACCCGACCACACGAAGCUGGAAUCGCUAGUAAUCGUGAAUCAGAAUGUCACGGUGAAUACGUUCCCGGGUCUUGUACACACCGCCCGUCACACCAUGGGAGUCAGCAACGCCCGAAGUCAGUGACCUAACCGAGAGGGAGGAGCUGCCGAAGGCGGGGCCGGUAACUGGGGUGAAGUCGUAACAAGGUAAC